CUUGUACACACCGACCCGUCACACCAUGGGAGCGGGUUCUGCCAGAAGUAGUUAGCCUAACCGCAAGGAGGGCGAUUACCACGGCAGGGUUCGUGACUGGGGUG
RNAcentral lists this ribosomal RNA (104 nucleotides) under uncultured bacterium. RNAcentral describes it as "partial 16S ribosomal RNA". It matches the Rfam family "Bacterial small subunit ribosomal RNA", at positions 1380 to 1482 of the family's 1533-position model. The record is from RNAcentral.